Molecule: long non-coding RNA, 500 nt
Filed under: Ananas comosus (pineapple)
Lineage: Eukaryota; Viridiplantae; Streptophyta; Magnoliopsida; Poales; Bromeliaceae
Description: long non-coding RNA (ACOM_LNC035837)
Source: RNAcentral
ACCACAUCGAAAUUCCCUAGCUUGCGCAGGGCUAGCAAAUCUACGGGUAUGAUCCAAUCUCCUACCCGAACAGGGCAACUAGGGCAAUACUCUCUAAUAUCCAGGGUGUGGUCGGGUACUACAACAUGUCCCGGAUGCAACAAGAAAACCAAAGGGGAUGCCAUGCAACUCGGCAAAUAGCCGAUCUAUAAAUAAAUGCGAUGCACCGGUAUCAAAUAAAGCACGAACUCUAAUGCCAUCAAGUAAAAUGAUACCUGCAACCACAUCCUCGGCUGCUGCCGCCUCCUCAGUAUGAGCGGCAUACAAACGCCCACUCGGGCCCUAUCGGGAUCCCUCGCUCUGGCGCUGGACGAGUGGCCGCCCAGGCUGGUACUGUGUUGACGGAGUCCCGUGGCUGACGGCUGGUAGAGCCGGUGCCGAUGCAGUCGACGGUGCCGGUGAAGAACCUCUCGGGCACUCAGUACGGAUGUGGCCCUCCUGGCCACACUCGUAGCACCUGC